This 213-nucleotide long non-coding RNA is filed under the name Nicotiana benthamiana. RNAcentral describes it as "long non-coding RNA (NBEN_LNC000415)". The record is from RNAcentral. Lineage: Eukaryota; Viridiplantae; Streptophyta; Magnoliopsida; Solanales; Solanaceae.
UGCUGCUGCCUAUGCUUUUCUUCAUGCCUUUGCUUUUCCAAUUCCCUCUUCUUCCUAAUCCUCCUCUCUUCUUCAGUCUCAACCCGAGCAUUGGCUGCUUUCUUCACAGGCAAUGGAGGCACAGAACGCCCUCCUGGCUGUUUAGACCGACCAGCAGCCUGAUGAUUACCAUGUCCCGGUUCGCGCCAACCAGAAUCUAGCCUUUUCUCGCCC